CAAUAGCGUAUAUUAAAGUUGUUGCAGUUAAAACGCUCGUAGUCGGAUUUCGGGGCGGGUCCGCCGGUCUGCCGAUGGGUACGCACUGGCGGGCGCGUCCUUCCUUCCGGAGACUGGCCCUACUCUUAGCUGAGCGGGGUCGGGAGUCGGAUCGUUUACUUUGAAAAAAUCAGAGUGUUUCAAGCAGGCAGCUCGCUCUUGCAUGGAUUAGCAUGGGAUAAUGAAAUAGGACUUUGGUGCUAUUUUGUUGGUUUCGAACACCGAAGUAAUGAUUAACAGGGACAGUCAGGGGCACUCGUAUUCCGCCGAGAGAGGUGAAAUUCUCAGACCAGCGGAAGACGAACCACUGCGAANGNAUUUGGNAGGGAUGUUUNCACUG
Molecule: ribosomal RNA, 379 nt
Filed under: uncultured eukaryote
Lineage: Eukaryota
Description: partial 18S ribosomal RNA
Rfam family: Eukaryotic small subunit ribosomal RNA
Source: RNAcentral